UACGUAGGGUGCAAGCGUUGUCCGGAAUUAUUGGGCGUAAAGAGCUCGUAGGCGGUCUGUUGCGUCGGCUGUGAAAACCCGGGGCUCAACCCCGGGCCUGCAGCCGAUACGGGCAGACUAGAGUUCGGCAGGGGGAGACUGGAAUUCCUGGUGUAGCGGUGAAAUGCGCAGAUAUCAGGAGGAACACCGGUGGCGAAGGCGGGUCUCUGGGCCGAUACUGACGCUGAGGCGCGAAAGCGUGGGGAGCGAACAGG
RNAcentral lists this ribosomal RNA (254 nucleotides) under uncultured bacterium. RNAcentral describes it as "partial 16S ribosomal RNA". It matches the Rfam family "Bacterial small subunit ribosomal RNA", at positions 524 to 776 of the family's 1533-position model. The record is from RNAcentral.